AGUGAACGCUGGCGGUAGGCCUAACACAUGCAAGUCGAACGGCAGCACAGUAAGAGCUUGCUCUUACGGGUGGCGAGUGGCGGACGGGUGAGGAAUACAUCGGAAUCUACUUUUUCGUGGGGGAUAACGUAGGGAAACUUACGCUAAUACCGCAUACGACCUACGGGUGAAAGCAGGGGAUCUUCGGACCUUGCGCGAUUGAAUGAGCCGAUGUCGGAUUAGCUAGUUGGCGGGGUAAAGGCCCACCAAGGCGACGAUCCGUAGCUGGUCUGAGAGGAUGAUCAGCCACACUGGAACUGAGACACGGUCCAGACUCCUACGGGAGGCAGCAGUGGGGAAUAUUGGACAAUGGGCGCAAGCCUGAUCCAGCCAUACCGCGUGGGUGAAGAAGGCCUUCGGGUUGUAAAGCCCUUUUGUUGGGAAAGAAAAGCAGCAGGUUAAGACCCCGCUGUUCUGACGGUACCCAAAGAAUAAGCACUGGCUAACUUCGU
RNAcentral lists this ribosomal RNA (491 nucleotides) under uncultured bacterium. Its description in RNAcentral is "partial 16S ribosomal RNA". It matches the Rfam family "Bacterial small subunit ribosomal RNA", at positions 29 to 506 of the family's 1533-position model. The record is from RNAcentral.